AUGUGCUGUUUCUGUCUAAGCUGCUGUACUUUUGAUCCAGGAAGUAACGAAAUCAUCUCAUCUCUCAUGUACCAGGAUGAGAGGUGGCGAGCAGCACAGAGGCUCAGAUCGGAACGGAGUAUUUGUACUGACUCCAACAGGAAGAAGACAUAAAGCUUUCCCAGUGUCCUGGAGGGUAAAUAACUCUGAUCCUCAAACAUUAAAACAAUUCGAAUAAAUUCACCAGUUUACGUUAUGUUCCUGCAAAAGUUUUCUGCUCUUCCUUUUCUUUUUGGUACUGGGGAUUGAACGCAAGGCCAUUCCACUGAGCUACAUCCUCAGACCUUUUAAUUUUUGUUAUUUUGAGACAGGGUCUUGCCAAGUAGCACAGUCGCCCAGAUAAAGCUUGAAAUUGCCAUCCUCUUGUCUCAACCUUACAGUGCUGGUAUUACAGGUGUGUGCCACCACACCCAGCUUUACAGCAUAGUGAAAAUGUGUUCAAGUAUCAUGAGAGCCAUACAAUAAAGCAUUUUCAUUUAUUUAUGGAAUACUAACCUUAAAAUACUAUCGUUGCAUUUUGAACAGAUACAUCAUAGUUUUAAGAUAGUAGAUUCAAUUUAACCCUUUUAAAAAUUUAAGACAUGUUGAAAUUUGGGUAUGCUGCCACCAGGUGGUGGUAAACCCUUUGAGUCAUAGGUCAUUGUGCUUUAAAUUCUUUUUAAAAAUUGCUUUAAAUAAAAACAGUAA
RNAcentral lists this long non-coding RNA (726 nucleotides) under Chinchilla lanigera (long-tailed chinchilla). RNAcentral's name for it is "lncRNA (ENSCLAG00000028574.1)". The record is from RNAcentral. Lineage: Eukaryota; Metazoa; Chordata; Mammalia; Rodentia; Chinchillidae.